Astatotilapia calliptera (eastern happy) is the source of this 56-nucleotide small nuclear RNA. Its record names the gene U7. It matches the Rfam family "U7 small nuclear RNA". Rfam says of the family: Animal histone pre-mRNAs are spliced by a different mechanism than nuclear pre-mRNAs and self-splicing introns. This processing involves the U7 snRNP, which contains only one RNA species: U7. The 5' end of U7 RNA is thought to base-pair to a conserved spacer element downstream of the cleavage site in histone pre-mRNA. The record is from Ensembl. NCBI's taxonomy places the organism in Eukaryota, Metazoa, Chordata, Actinopteri, Cichliformes, Cichlidae.
AGGAAUCUUUGCUCUUAGAUAUUUGUCUAGUAGGUUUCUCAUAAAGAGAAGCCCUC